Molecule: transfer RNA, 77 nt
Filed under: Enterobacter cloacae
Lineage: Bacteria; Pseudomonadati; Pseudomonadota; Gammaproteobacteria; Enterobacterales; Enterobacteriaceae
Description: tRNA-Arg
Rfam family: tRNA
About the family: Transfer RNA (tRNA) molecules are approximately 80 nucleotides in length. Their secondary structure includes four short double-helical elements and three loops (D, anti-codon, and T loops).
Source: RNAcentral
GCAUCCGUAGCUCAGCUGGAUAGAGUACGCGGCUACGAACCGAGCGGUCGGAGGUUCGAAUCCUCCCGGAUGGACUA